GCGCUCAUAGCUCAGCUGGAUAGAGCACUUGGCUACGAACUAAGGGGUCGGGAGUUCGAAUCUCUCUGA
This 69-nucleotide transfer RNA is filed under the name Acinetobacter baumannii 1291820. Its description in RNAcentral is "partial tRNA-Arg". It matches the Rfam family "tRNA". Rfam says of the family: Transfer RNA (tRNA) molecules are approximately 80 nucleotides in length. Their secondary structure includes four short double-helical elements and three loops (D, anti-codon, and T loops). Further hydrogen bonds mediate the characteristic L-shaped molecular structure. tRNAs have two regions of fundamental functional importance: the anti-codon, which is responsible for specific mRNA codon recognition, and the 3' end, to which the tRNAs corresponding amino acid is attached (by aminoacyl-tRNA synthetases). tRNAs cope with the degeneracy of the genetic code in two manners: having more than one tRNA (with a specific anti-codon) for a particular amino acid; and 'wobble' base-pairing, i.e. permitting non-standard base-pairing at the 3rd anti-codon position. Lineage: Bacteria; Pseudomonadati; Pseudomonadota; Gammaproteobacteria; Moraxellales; Moraxellaceae. RNAcentral also lists the same sequence under 18 other names. The record is from RNAcentral.